GACGAACGCUGGCGGCGUGCUUAACACAUGCAAGUCGAACGGAAAGGCCUGCUUUCCCUUGUGGAUUGCGGGUACUCGAGUGGCGAACGGGUGAGUAACACGUGAGUGAUCUGCCCCCAACUUGGGUAUAAGCCUGGGAAACUGGGUCUAAUUCCCGAUAGGACUGCAGGGUGGUGCCUGUGGUGGAAAACGAUUUUCUAGUGGUUGGGGAUGAGCUCGCGGCCUAUCAGCUUGUUGGUGGGGUAAUGGCCUACCAAGGCGGCGACGGGUAGCCGGCCUGAGAGGGUGGACGGCCACAUUGGGACUGAGAGACGGCCCAGACUCCUACGGGAGGCAGCAGUGGGGAAUAUUGCACAAUGGGCGGAAGCCUGAUGCAGCGACGCCGCGGGGGGGAUGACGGCCUUCGGGUUGUAAACUCCUUUCGACCGCGAGGAAGCCACCUGGUUGGAAGGGUGGCGACGGUAGUGGUAGAAGAAGCACCGGCUAACUACGUG
RNAcentral lists this ribosomal RNA (494 nucleotides) under uncultured bacterium. RNAcentral describes it as "partial 16S ribosomal RNA". It matches the Rfam family "Bacterial small subunit ribosomal RNA", at positions 28 to 507 of the family's 1533-position model. The record is from RNAcentral.